RNAcentral lists this long non-coding RNA (393 nucleotides) under Gallus gallus (chicken). Its description in RNAcentral is "lncRNA (ENSGALG00010025129.1)". Lineage: Eukaryota; Metazoa; Chordata; Aves; Galliformes; Phasianidae. The record is from RNAcentral.
CGCCAUUGUGGUCCCCGCAGCGGUUUCAGGAGAGAUAUUGAUGGAAGUGCCACAUCUAACGAUUCCUCCUCCAUCCUGUAUUGAUGGUGCUGUAGAAAGGCCAGCUUGCUGGAGAUGAAAGGCAGCACUGAGCAGUGCAGGAAGCUCCCCGGCCGUGGCUGUUGUGCAUGUUGGAGGAGAUGCAUCACUGAAGGAUUAAAAUACAACUGCUGUGAGCUGGGAAGCAAAGCAGGCCAGGACUAGAAGCUGCCGUGGAAGGAGAGGCACAUGAUGAAGUCUCCAGAGCUGCCUGCUGAUGGGACCCACGGCCAGCAUCCUGCACCCUGCUCUGGGCACCCAGGGACCCCCAGCACUGCCCGAGUCCACCAGGAGACAGCCCAGAAACCUCAGGUG